CCUUCUUCAAGGCCUCAUCAUGUCACUCCCAUUUCCUACAGAUCAAAGAUCCCCAAGGCUCUGAUUCCUUUAAUCUCUUGCUCCCCCCUCCCCAGCCCACCAAGCUUUAACUCUCCUGUGACACCCCCCCACGCCCCUCCCCCCUCCUCAGAAAUGUGAGGCAGCUUUCGCCACGAAGGAUCGGCUGCGGGCGCACACAGUACGACACGAGGAGAAAGUGCCAUGUCACGUGUGUGGCAAGAUGCUGAGCUCGGCUUAUAUUUCGGACCACAUGAAGGUGCACAGCCAGGGUCCUCACCAUGUCUGUGAGCUCUGCAACAAAGGUACUGGUGAGGUUUGUCCAAUGGCGGCGGCGGCGGCGGCAGCGGCGGCGGCAGCAGCAGUAGCAGCCCCUCCCACAGCUGUGGGCUCCCUCUCGGGGGCGGAGGGGGUGCCUGUGAGCUCUCAGCCACUUCCCUCCCAACCCUGGUGAGCUCCAAGUUGGUUGCGGGGGAGAGGGGAGAAUGGAGUAGAGUCCCUUGGUACAAGCUCCUCUCCCCCCUCUUUUCCCACCAACUCCUAUUUCCCCACCAACCAAGGAGCCUCCAGAAGGAAAGAAGGAAGAAAUGUUUUCUUAGGGGAAUUCGCUAGGUUUUAACGAUUUGUUUCUCCUGCUCCUCUCUUCUAUCAGACCUGACCCCAAACAAACCUGUCCCCUCGGUUGUGUUGAAGUCCCCUGGACAGUGGGCAGGGGUGGCAGAGGACACGAGCAGCCACUGCCCGUACCCCCUCUCCUCUCUGUAAGCCCAUGCCCUGUCUUCCCAGGGAUUUGUGAGCCUCUUCCCUCGACGGUCCUCUUCUCUCCUUCCAGUCCUCUCCCCCUGCUGUCUGCAGCCCCUCCCCGGGGAGUUGGUGCUUUCUUUUCCUUUUUUUUUUUUUUCCAGGGGGAGGGAGGAGAGGAAGGAGGGGGAUCAGAGCUGUCCCAAAGAGGGAAAGCGGUGAGGUUUGAGGAGAGGCAGAAGCAGGGCCAGCAAAGGUUUUACCUUCAUAAGGUGGUAUGGGGGUUUGGGGUCAGGCCCUGAACAUCGUCCUACUUGAGAAUCUGUCAGGGGAAAAAGUCAAGGGGAGCAGGAGGAAGAGCCAGGAGGGCCAGAGGCAGAGAAGAGAUGGAGUCUUAGGGGCCAGGGUGAGCGAGGGGUCCAGGGCCUAGAGGUGCUUCCUGGGGGCGGGGGAAUGCAGCCAGUGUCCCCCUCCCCUCUUCCACCCCAGCUCCAGCCCUGGUCUUGUCUUUUCAUCCCUCUUCCCCACGACAGAAGAAGUUGUGGCCCUGG
This 1310-nucleotide small RNA is filed under the name Pan troglodytes (chimpanzee). RNAcentral describes it as "retained intron". The record is from RNAcentral. Lineage: Eukaryota; Metazoa; Chordata; Mammalia; Primates; Hominidae.